GACGAACGCUGGCGGCGUGCCUAAUACAUGCAAGUUGAGCGCUGAAGGUUGGUACUUGUACCAACUGGAUGAGCAGCGAACGGGUGAGUAACGCGUGGGGAACCUGCCUUUGAGCGGGGGACAACAUUUGGAAACGAAUGCUAAUACCGCAUAAAAACUUUAAACACAAGUUUUAAGUUUGAAAGAUGCAAUUGCAUCACUCAAAGAUGAUCCCGCGUUGUAUUAGCUAGUUGGUGAGGUAAAGGCUCACCAAGGCGAUGAUACAUAGCCGACCUGAGAGGGUGAUCGGCCACAUUGGGACUGAGACACGGCCCAAACUCCUACGGGAGGCAGCAGUAGGGAAUCUUCGGCAAUGGACGAAAGUCUGACCGAGCAACGCCGCGGGAGUGAAGAAGGUUUUCGGAUCGUAAAACUCUGUUGGUAGAGAAGAACGUUGGUGAGAGUGGAAAGCUCAUCAAGUGACGGUAACUACCCAGAAAGGGACGGCUAACUACGUG
This 497-nucleotide ribosomal RNA is filed under the name uncultured bacterium. RNAcentral describes it as "partial 16S ribosomal RNA". It matches the Rfam family "Bacterial small subunit ribosomal RNA", at positions 28 to 507 of the family's 1533-position model. The record is from RNAcentral.